This 221-nucleotide long non-coding RNA is filed under the name Elaeis guineensis (African oil palm). RNAcentral's name for it is "long non-coding RNA (EGUI_LNC005643)". Lineage: Eukaryota; Viridiplantae; Streptophyta; Magnoliopsida; Arecales; Arecaceae. The record is from RNAcentral.
AAUAUCUCUUUAUAUGCCCAGCACACCUCAUAUCUUGAUUUUUCGAACUUCGACCUCUCCGUAGAUGAUGCAUCUAUAUCACAGAGGAUGAGUGAGUCGGAAGAUACGUCGUACCGAUCCGAUGAGCAACACGUCGAUCAGCAUAGGAGGGCCAGAGGCAAAGGUCGACUCAGAGUUUCUCAAGGUAGAUAUAAGGCAUAUAUUGAUAGGCCAAGCAUGCC